ACGCGAGAAACCUUACCUGGGCUUGACAUGUACCGGAUUGGGCUAGAGAUAGUCUUUCCCUUGUGGUCGGUAUACAGGUGGUGCAUGGUUGUCGUCAGCUCGUGUCGUGAGAUGUUGGGUUAAGUCCCGCAACGAGCGCAACCCUUGUCUUAUGUUGCCAGCACGUUAUGGUGGGAACUCAUGAGAGACUGCCGGGGUUAACUCGGAGGAAGGUGGGGAUGACGUCAAAUCAUCAUGCCCCUUAUGUCCA
RNAcentral lists this ribosomal RNA (250 nucleotides) under uncultured bacterium. RNAcentral describes it as "partial 16S ribosomal RNA". It matches the Rfam family "Bacterial small subunit ribosomal RNA", at positions 959 to 1210 of the family's 1533-position model. The record is from RNAcentral.